This 174-nucleotide ribosomal RNA is filed under the name Ceraceosorus guamensis. RNAcentral's name for it is "partial small subunit ribosomal RNA". It matches the Rfam family "Eukaryotic small subunit ribosomal RNA", at positions 1352 to 1545 of the family's 1831-position model. The record is from RNAcentral. Lineage: Eukaryota; Fungi; Basidiomycota; Exobasidiomycetes; Ceraceosorales; Ceraceosoraceae.
AUACUAGCCCGGUGGACUAUGGUCGGCCGCUGGCUUCUAUGAGGGACUAUAAGCGUAUAGCGCUUGGAGGAUAAAGGCAAUAACAGGUCUGUGAUGCCCUUAGAUGUUCUGGGCCGCACGCGCGCUACACUGACCGAGGCAACGAGUGUAUCACCUGGCCCGAGAGGGAUUCUG